This 432-nucleotide ribosomal RNA is filed under the name uncultured bacterium. RNAcentral describes it as "partial 16S ribosomal RNA". It matches the Rfam family "Bacterial small subunit ribosomal RNA", at positions 29 to 506 of the family's 1533-position model. The record is from RNAcentral.
AGCGAACGCUGGCGGCAGGCCUAACACAUGCAAGUCGAACGGAUCCUUCGGGAUUAGUGGCGGACGGGUGAGUAACACGUGGGAACGUGCCCUUUGGUUCGGAACAACUCAGGGAAACUUGAGCUAAUACCGGAUGUGCCCUUCGGGGGAAAGAUUUAUCGCCAUUGGAGCGGCCCGCGUCUGAUUAGCUAGUUGGUGAGGUAACGGCCCACCAAGGCGACGAUCAGUAGCUGGUCUGAGAGGAUGAUCAGCCACACUGGGACUGAGACACGGCCCAGACUCCUAGGGAAGGCAGAAGGGGGGAUUCUUCCGCAAGGGGCGAAAGCCUGACACGGCCAUGCCGCGUAAAUGAUGAAGGUUUUAGGAUGGUAAAAUUCUUUCAGCGGGGACGAUAAGGACGGUACCCGCAGAAGAAGCCCCGGCAAACUUCGG